GAUGAACGCUGGCGGCGUGCCUAAUACAUGCAAGUCGAACGAGGUCCUUGCCUUCGGGUGAGGUCCUAGUGGCGAACGGGUGAGUAACACGUUGGUGACCUGCCCCGAAGAGGGGGACAACCCCGGGAAACUGGGGCUAAUACCCCACUGUGAUCCAGAGAGUUAGAGGUCUUUGGAUGAAAUGGAGCAAUCCGCUUCGGGAGGGGCCUGCGGCCUAUCAGCUUGUUGGUGGGGUGAUGGCCUACCAAGGCGACGACGGGUAGCCGGCCUGAGAGGGCGACCGGCCACACUGGGACUGAGACACGGCCCAGACUCCUACGGGAGGCAGCAGUGGGGAAUCUUGCGCAAUGGGCGAAAGCCUGACGCAGCGACGCCGCGUGAGGGAUGACGGCCU
This 394-nucleotide ribosomal RNA is filed under the name uncultured bacterium. Its description in RNAcentral is "bacterial SSU rRNA". It matches the Rfam family "Bacterial small subunit ribosomal RNA", at positions 28 to 417 of the family's 1533-position model. The record is from RNAcentral.